GGUGAACGCUGGCGGCGUGCCUAAUACAUGCAAGUCGAGCGAACAGACGAGGAGCUUGCUCCUCUGACGUUAGCGGCGGACGGGUGAGUAACACGUGGAUAACCUACCUAUAAGACUGGGAUAACUUCGGGAAACCGGAGCUAAUACCGGAUAAUAUAUUGAACCGCAUGGUUCAAUAGUGAAAGACGGUUUUGCUGUCACUUAUAGAUGGAUCCGCGCCGCAUUAGCUAGUUGGUAAGGUAACGGCUUACCAAGGCAACGAUGCGUAGCCGACCUGAGAGGGUGAUCGGCCACACUGGAACUGAGACACGGUCCAGACUCCUACGGGAGGCAGCAGUAGGGAAUCUUCCGCAAUGGGCGAAAGCCUGACGGAGCAACGCCGCGUGAGUGAUGAAGGUCUUCGGAUCGUAAAACUCUGUUAUUAGGGAAGAACAAAUGUGUAAUUAACUAUGCACGUCUUGACGGUACCUAAUCAGAAAGCCACGGCUAACUACGUG
This 497-nucleotide ribosomal RNA is filed under the name uncultured bacterium. RNAcentral describes it as "partial 16S ribosomal RNA". It matches the Rfam family "Bacterial small subunit ribosomal RNA", at positions 28 to 507 of the family's 1533-position model. The record is from RNAcentral.